RNAcentral lists this ribosomal RNA (158 nucleotides) under Pleurotus sp. 56 QL-2015. RNAcentral describes it as "5.8S ribosomal RNA". It matches the Rfam family "5.8S ribosomal RNA". From Rfam's summary of the family: 5.8S ribosomal RNA (5.8S rRNA) is a component of the large subunit of the eukaryotic ribosome. It is transcribed by RNA polymerase I as part of the 45S precursor that also contains 18S and 28S rRNA. Lineage: Eukaryota; Fungi; Basidiomycota; Agaricomycetes; Agaricales; Pleurotaceae. The record is from RNAcentral.
CAACUUUCAACAACGGAUCUCUUGGCUCUCGCAUCGAUGAAGAACGCAGCGAAAUGCGAUAAGUAAUGUGAAUUGCAGAAUUCAGUGAAUCAUCGAAUCUUUGAACGCACCUUGCGCCCCUUGGUAUUCCGAGGGGCAUGCCUGUUUGAGUGUCACUA